This 253-nucleotide ribosomal RNA is filed under the name uncultured bacterium. Its description in RNAcentral is "partial 16S ribosomal RNA". It matches the Rfam family "Bacterial small subunit ribosomal RNA", at positions 524 to 776 of the family's 1533-position model. The record is from RNAcentral.
UACGUAGGGUGCAAGCGUUAAUCGGAAUUACUGGGCGUAAAGCGCGCGCAGGCGGUUUUGUAAGCCAGACGUGAAAUCCCCGGGCUUAACCUGGGAAUGGCAUUUGGGACUGCAAGGCUCGAGUGCGGCAGAGGAGACUGGAAUUCCUGGUGUAGCAGUGAAAUGCGUAGAUAUCAGGAGGAACACCGAUGGCGAAGGCAGGUCUCUGGGCUGACACUGACGCUGAGGCGCGAAAGCGUGGGGAUCAAACAGG